Molecule: transfer RNA, 91 nt
Filed under: Oxalobacter vibrioformis
Lineage: Bacteria; Pseudomonadati; Pseudomonadota; Betaproteobacteria; Burkholderiales; Oxalobacteraceae
Also listed under: 1 other name
Description: tRNA-Ser
Rfam family: tRNA
About the family: Transfer RNA (tRNA) molecules are approximately 80 nucleotides in length. Their secondary structure includes four short double-helical elements and three loops (D, anti-codon, and T loops).
Source: RNAcentral
GGAAAGGUGGCAGAGAGGUCGAAUGCGCCGGACUCGAAAUUCGGUAUGGGUUAAUAGCUCAUCGUGGGUUCAAAUCCCACCCUUUCCGCCA